AUGAUAAGUAUAAAGAACUACUAUAUAUAUAUGAACAAGGACGUAAAUAUGGUUACACCAGUAAAGCCAUGGAAGAUAUAUGGAAUAAAGUGCAUAAACAAAUGGAAAAGCCCCACAAGCCAAAACCCAUGGAACAACCAUACCAUGACACACGUACGUUCACAAGUAUUACGUAUUACAUGCAUACGGAUAAGGUCCUCAACAAAGCUAUGAGAGGAAAGACACGAAAAGUAGUUUGAAGAAGGGGCCAGACAAUAUUUGACACCAUACGUAAUGAUAAAGACCCUAUAGAAGAAAAUAGGAAAGCUGGUAUUUACUCAAUACCUAUAUAUAGUGAAAAUGAGGACACUGUACGAUAUUAUAUCGGUAGCACUAAGAGAAGUCUUAACACAAGGUUAAAGGAACGUAGGGCCGGCAUACAAGCGGCAAGUCUGACUGCAGCCCUGGCCAGCGUAGCUUACGAACAAAAUGUG
RNAcentral lists this long non-coding RNA (473 nucleotides) under Androctonus crassicauda. The record is from RNAcentral. Lineage: Eukaryota; Metazoa; Arthropoda; Arachnida; Scorpiones; Buthidae.